GAUGAACGCUGGCGGCGUGCUUAACACAUGCAAGUCGAGCGAGUGAGUUCUUCGGAACGAUCUAGCGGCGGACGGGUGAGUAACACGUGGGCAACCUGCCUCAUAGAGGGGAAUAGUCUCCCGAAAGGGCGAGUAAUACCGCAUAACAUCGUUGAAGGGCAUCCUUCGAUGAUCAAAGGAGCAAUCCGCUAGGAGAUGGGCCCGCGGCGCCUUGGGUAGUUGGUGAGGUAACGGCUCACAAAGGUGACGGUGCGUCGCCGACCUGGGAGGGUGAUCGGCCACAUUGGGACUGAGACACGGCCCAGACUCCUGCGGGAGGCAGCAGUGGGGAAUAUUGCACAAUGGGGGAAACCCGGAUGCAGCAACGCCGCGUGAGUGAUGACGGCCUUCGGGUUGUAAAGCUCUGUCUUUGGGGACGAUAAUUACGGUACCCAAGGAGGAAGUCACGGCUAACUACGUGCCAGCAGCCGCCGUAA
RNAcentral lists this ribosomal RNA (476 nucleotides) under uncultured bacterium. RNAcentral's name for it is "partial 16S ribosomal RNA". It matches the Rfam family "Bacterial small subunit ribosomal RNA", at positions 28 to 523 of the family's 1533-position model. The record is from RNAcentral.